RNAcentral lists this ribosomal RNA (174 nucleotides) under Triticum aestivum (bread wheat). Its description in RNAcentral is "partial small subunit ribosomal RNA". Lineage: Eukaryota; Viridiplantae; Streptophyta; Magnoliopsida; Poales; Poaceae. The record is from RNAcentral.
AUGAACAAUACUAGUCGUUUGAAGAAACUUCAUAGCAUUACUAUACCUUCCCUAUUCAUUACGGAUUGGUUAUUUGUCAGUACGGGUUUAGCUUAUGAGGUGUUUGGAAGUCCUAGGCCAAACGAGUAUUUCACGGAAAGCCGGCAAGGAAUUCCGUUAAUAACCGACCGUUAA